This is a long non-coding RNA of Triticum aestivum (bread wheat), 4579 nucleotides long. RefSeq lists it as uncharacterized. Lineage: Eukaryota; Viridiplantae; Streptophyta; Magnoliopsida; Poales; Poaceae. The transcript is spliced from 9 exons. The record is from RefSeq and is a predicted model, not a curated record.
CUCCUCCUCUCCCCUCCCGCGCGCCUCCUCUCCCCGCGUCCCAGCCCCCGCUCGCCCCGCCCUCUCCCCUUCCUCUCCCUCCCUCAGACCUCGCCGCCCCGCUCACAUCGCUGCCGCCGAAGCCCUCAGACCACGCCGCGGUGGACCUCUCUCCUCCCCGCCCCGCCCGUCCCGCUCGCCGUGGCCGUGGCCGAUGACCGCGGCCCCGCCGUCCCGCCCCGCCCGCCGCGGCGGCCAUGGACGAGCUCGAGCUCGACAGGGGAGCAACGGGGAGAGGAACAUGAGGCUAGGGGGAGGAAGAAGAUGGCCACCGCCGCCGGAUCACCGCCGCGCCUCUGCUUCAACCCUAACCCUAGCGUUGCUGCUGCUGCUCAAGGUGCACGCAUGCGUCCAACGGUGAACCCUAGCCUCGGACGGCAGCAGCGCCCAUCACCAAUGACAGCAGCGACAGGAGCAGCCAGCAGCUCGGGUGCACCUAUCUCUUCCAGGAGCACGGCGCCCACCCCACCCACUACCCCUUCCCCCGCCAGCCAUGGGAGCUGGUGGCCUGCCUCUCCCUAGAUCGUGACCUGAAGCCGGCUCAGACUUCAGGACUAUGUUUAAACAUUCAACAACUCUGGCCAACAUAUGAAACAAGACCAAGUCUCGCAUGGGGAUGCAACCCAUCCUCUGCUUGCUUCCAGCACGGCGCCGGCCGGAUCCACCUCGGCCACAACCACGACACCGGCAUUGGCAGCCAUGUGCUUCUUCUCCAUCACCACAAAAUGAGAAUGCAAGGCACAAGCAAGGGAAGACCAUCGCUUCGCUCCUCUGGGCCGCCGCUGCUACAACCCUACUGGACGCCAUGCAAGAGAGGAGAAAUUAUGCAGAAUUCUGAAUCUUUAACUGUGGUCUGAGAAGAAAAUCGAAUCUUUCUUCAGAGAGUAGUCGUGUUGUGACAAAGAAAUCUGAAACAAUGAAUGUCUGUGACCUCUGCAAGUCGCGGACGUUGUGGAGCUGGACGAGGUUUUUUGGUGCGUUUGUGCUCGUCGGCGGGACGGUGCAAGGCGCAACUCCGACGUGGUUCCUUGCCGGUUGGACGGCGUUCACGCGCAACCCCGGCGUGCACUGAGUACUGCCUCGGUGAGCUCCAUCUUCCUCCUGCUCCUCUGCUUCGGCUACUGUAUGGGACAUGGCCAUGGCUAUAUUGAUCCAUCCAUCCAUCCAGAAAUAAGAAUAGAAGCUCCUCAGGCCGCACCACAGCGAUUUGGGAUUCCUGACCGUCGGAUCAGGUGCCUUGAUCGGAUCUGGGCCGUUGGGUCGACCCCUGUAACGACCUCGUCCGUCGGAUAAAAAAAAGUUACUACUGGAAUGAAUAGUUACUCCCAUUUCGUGCCACCGCUCAUAAAUAGCCUGCCCCGCCGGGGGCAUUCUCGCCAUUUCGCUUUGUCUGUGGCGGUGGCGUUCGUGCUAGGGCGAUGAUGAUUAACUGUGGCUGGAAUAAGUGUGCCUUUGAGCAAUCAAGGCACCUGUGGGUAUCAAGUUGGAUCCUCCCUGUUGUCUCUAGAAUCCUUUUUGAUCCUGUGAUACCUAUUGAUCUGUCCUUGGAUGGUCAUUCUUGUUGAGUGAUAACCAGGGCAGCUCCAUUGUGUAAACAGAUUGAUCUGGUGAUAAGAGAUGAUGGGGAUAGGUUAUAUGAUCGAGAAAAGGCGAAUUUGAGCCCACUAUGCAAUAAAACUACAGCUACCUCCCCUAAUGUGUGUAGUAUUGAAGGCAAAAGAGAACUUUUAAUGUCUUGCUACUUUAAAAUUCCAAAAAGGUGCAUUCUUCCUUUGCUGGUUACUUAACCAUGAUUUUUUGUUUUGCUUUGGUUCUGGUUGAGAUACUAAAGGUUGUUUAUAUAUGAAAAUAAUAGACACUUGUAGUUUUGUAUGCCUCACCUGUAGCUUAGGAUCCAGUGUUGUAAUGUUUUGCCUGGGUAAAAAUAACUCUAAUCAAUAAUAGUGGUUCUAUCCUUCUGAUUUGAACUGGGAGAGGGCCACUGAUUCUUGAUCUUAAGGUGACCCUAUUUUUCUAUGCCUCAUGCUCAUGCUGCUCCAUGUUCCCUUUUAAAGAUUCUUGCUUGCAUUUUGGGUUGGUCUUCUGCUCUAUGUUCCCUUUUAGCAUUUCUUUCCGCUGUUGAUGCAUUCCCUUUUUUGUAUAUUACAUGUUCUUUUGUAUCUCAUUCUGCAUGUAACAUAACUAAAUAAUACAUUGAGAUGAAAGGUUAUAUAUGAUAUCAUUGAGAGGAGCAUGCCAACAUCCCUACCUCCCUCUUCAACUCCCACCCAACACAAUUGUGGUGAGCUCCCCCUCUCAUCUACCUGCUAUUUGUACCUUCGGUUUUGGAUGCAUACAAAUUGUGUAUGCCAUGACUGAAACUCGAGCAGCAAAUUGUGUGUGUGUGUGUGUGUGCGCGCGCACACAUCACGUUUUUGUUUAAUUUUGGAUGGCUCAAACCGGCUGGAGCCAACUUUGUGUGUGUGUGAGUGCGCAUCCAUUGCAUGUAAAAAUCUUGUUUUUUCCAAACUCUUCUACUGUCGGAUAUGUAGAUAAAUUGCUUAUUUGGGCAGUUGUAGUACUCCAUGCGAUUGUCAAGGAUCUGCACUUUCAUCACACUAAAUGUAGUUGACUAAAAAGGUAAGUUAUGCCUUCUCUCUCGCUAAUCAAUUUUCUCUUGGCUAUUCUUUCUUUGCAAAUGAUCAUAUUUUGUGUAUUUUCACUAUGUAUUCUUGUAUCUAUAUAUGUUGAGCAGAUUGUUUCCUCUAUGACCAUGAUUCUAUAUGAUUACUGAGGUCUCUAACCUUCUCUUCUUUCCUAAUUAGAACAUGAUACUAAUCUGAUGUAUCUCCUAUUUGCGAUGACUAUUAAAUAUGGAGUUUCUGUGUUGUCUAAUGAAGCAGUCAAGUAUGCAAUCUGAGCAGAAUAUCAUUAAAAGGUCAUUGACCCAACAAAUUGAACUUAAUCUGAACCUCCCCUGUUCCUGCUAAAUAUCCCUAUUUUUCUGAACUUAACAAAGAACAACAUCAUAUAUUAGAUCAGCACACAAGUGAACCAGAAAGCAUUUUAUUCAGUCUUGGUACCCUUAGUGUAAAAUUAUUCCUUACUGGUUGGGGAUUUGGAGGUGCAGUAUGUGGUUGGCGAAGGAUUUUUUUUCUCCUAGGCUCCACACAUUCUCUUCCAUCUAAAACAACCGAUGCGGUCAAGUGGUGUAGUAGUUGAUGGUCGAGAGCUAAAAUCAGGGCACUGUUUUGUUUUAGGAUUUGUGUAAUCUUUAGAUCCACCUUUACCAUCACAAUUAUUUGCCUGAGCUCUGGUGAUUACUCCCAAGGAUUACCCCACCAAAUAACAUUACCGAGGUAUCACUGUGUGUCUGGCUGUUUAUUCAUGUGUAGUACUACAGUGUGUGGCCUUCUCUGUUUUGUCAAAUGCCAGUACUUGCUUUGUGACCCUUGAUGUAUCAACCUGUAACCCUUUGAAACAUGACCUGUUGCCUAUUGGUAUUACUGAUAUAAAAGAGAUAUUUUGUUUUUGCUGAUGCAGGAGGGCAGCAGCCUCGACGCGGCGAUCACGUCGCUCCUUAGCGUGGAGAUGUAGUGCCACCUGGCCGGCAGAAGGAAGUCCGCCGAUCGUCGAGAUCUGCUUCAAGGAUGGCGCCUGGAAGAAGCUCAAUGACCAGAUCAUCGUCCUCUCCAAGAGGAGGGGUCAGUUCAAGCAGGUUGGUCCGCUGUCUACAGGUGCUCGUUAUUCUGGCCAGUUUGUCGUGCUCUAUCUUCGACCACCUCUUUGCAGUAACUUUUUCCCGCCUUGCUGGAGGAGAUGAAGCACAUGGCAAAGCAGGAGUUCAUUGCGCACUUAAGAAGAGGAGGCGUCCUGGAGCACGGUGGAGGCAUUUUGGACGUGGAGCACGGCCUUGCGGUUCCUCGCCUAGGGAGGCCAUGCGAGAAACUUGGGGCAGCAAGGUACUGCCUCUUGCUGCUCCUCCCCCAUGUCUGGAGCUCGCCUGGAGCUCCCCCACGCCUUGAGCUCGCUAGAGCAGAGGCCUACGAAGCGCUCCCUGGGGCAAGGCCUGGGGCGAUCUGCAGGGAGGAACAGAGGCCUGGAGCUGCGGGGAGAAGAGGUCUGAAGCUGCAGGGAGGAGCAGAGGCCUGGAGCCGGCGGCGAGCUCUGGAGGCGACGACGCGAGGAAGGAGCGAAUCACGAGGGAGAGGGAGGAGCGGAUCGCCAACUUUUGAAUUGUAUAAGGAUGUAAUUGAAAAAUGUUGUUUAGUUCAAAAUGUGUCGGUUGCGACAGAUAUUUCAGGACGGAGAAAGUACUAUUGACAUAGAUACACUUUAUUUAUCAAGGAUUUUUGUAUAUCAUAUUAUCAUAGGAAAAUGAUCUAUGUAUGCACUUUUUAUGGUCAUGUACAGUUCAGAGCCAGUGUUAUUUAUCAAACACAUAAUUUAAAUAAGGCUUGUGAAAAAAUUGCCCAUUGAAAUGAUCACUUUGGAUUGGUAGUGUCAAAAGGAUGCAGAACAUUUGUAACAUUUCUUCCCAUAUUCAUGAGACUUUCACUCU